Molecule: unclassified non-coding RNA, 334 nt
Filed under: Hevea brasiliensis (rubber tree)
Lineage: Eukaryota; Viridiplantae; Streptophyta; Magnoliopsida; Malpighiales; Euphorbiaceae
Source: RNAcentral
GUCAUUUUGAGUUUCAAUCAGCUUCAAAGUUCACGGAAAUCUAGAUCUACAAGAAGUCAGAAGGGAGAGAUCGACGUGCACCCAAAGCAGAGGCUGAGAGAGCGAACGUAAAUCCGUUCAAAAACUGAAGGGAAGAGAGUAGAGCAUGAAUGAAAGAAAAGGAGAAAGGUUAGCAAUGGAGAGAGUUAGGGUUUAGGAGGAGGACAUGGGAGAGGGAGGCGAAGAAUUCGAGGGAGUUGCGGGGAGAACGGAGAAGGAAAGGGAAGAAAUAAGCUAUCUCAUUCCAUUACCAAACAAGAGAGAGAGGGAGAGAGAAGAAAGCGAAUAGUUCGAG